UGUAGGGCGACAUUGAUAUG
This 20-nucleotide non-coding RNA is filed under the name Arabidopsis thaliana (thale cress). The record is from RNAcentral. Lineage: Eukaryota; Viridiplantae; Streptophyta; Magnoliopsida; Brassicales; Brassicaceae.